Molecule: ribosomal RNA, 425 nt
Filed under: uncultured archaeon
Lineage: Archaea
Description: partial 16S ribosomal RNA
Rfam family: Archaeal small subunit ribosomal RNA
Source: RNAcentral
CUACGGGGGGCUGCAGUCGCGGAACUUUUACAAUGCACGAAAGUGUGAUAAAGCGAACCAAAGUGUUUUUCGUUUAGAAAAACUUUUUCUUACUGUAAAAAUGUAGGAGAAUAAGGACUGGGAAAGACUGGUGCCAGCCGCCGCGGUAAUACCAGCAGUUCAAGUUGCAUCCCUUUUUAUUGGGUUCUAAAACAUCCGUAGCUUGCUAGAUAAGUCUCUUGUGAAAUCCUACGUCUCAAGCGUGGUGAAGUGCAGGAGAUACUGUCUAGCUAGAGAUCGGUAGACGUAAGGAGUACGCCGGAGGUAGUGGUAAAAUACGUUAAUCUUCGGUGGACUAACAAUGAGCGAAGGCACCUUACGAGGACGAAUCUGACAGUGAGGGAUGAAGGCCAGGGGCGCAAAACGGAUUAGAUACCCUUGUAGUC